CAGCGUGCCCACGUCCCAAGCAAGCACAGUGAGGUGCUGUGGCAGCUUCCCUGUGGUGACAGAACCCGGCAGUCGGCAGGGGCAAGCAGAGCAGAAUCUUUCAGCGAGUUGAAGAGAGGAGCAGUUGGAGUGCUGACAAAAGCCUCAGUGGGUGACAAAGACCAUCGGUAGCUCUGAGAGAGCGUGGCUGCCUUUGAGGAUGCACUGUGAAGAGUGAUGGUGACCCAGAGUACUGCAGAUGCUCAACUGAUGGGCAAAAAGACUGUUUGUGCUGCCGUUGAGCGCAGACCAAAGGCRUCUUCCGGAUGAGCGCAGUGUGAGAGGCAGUGCAGUGCGCGUGUUGGAAAAUGAGAGCGGACAGCUCCCGCCUGUCUGUGGUUUGCAUUGCAGCUUCAGUUUCUUUUACUCAGGUCCUAGUACUGCGCCCGUUGUUUGUGCUCCCAGAGCACAUCCUGCACUGCGGGGCGCUGGUGCAGGAGUCAUCCAUUGUCUUUUGCCAUGCCUCAGCAGCGUUGUGCUGGUGGAUGGCAGCUUGUUCUGUGCGGCCAGAUGAAAUGAGCUCUGUCAUUUAUGACUGGACAUCUUUGCAGCCCUCRUCGUGGUCUCAUCUGUAACUGCUGUUCUGGGGUUUUGCUCCGCCGCCACUGUGGGCUCUUGUGCCUUCCUUCACAGUUUUAUUUCCUGUGUUGUCAAAGUCUUAGGCCUUGUUGGCUUCUUCUGCAUUUCUCUUCUGGACUUCGCU
Molecule: long non-coding RNA, 742 nt
Organism: Nothoprocta perdicaria
Lineage: Eukaryota; Metazoa; Chordata; Aves; Tinamiformes; Tinamidae
Exons: 4
Source: RefSeq, a predicted model, not a curated record